This 906-nucleotide ribosomal RNA is filed under the name uncultured bacterium. Its description in RNAcentral is "bacterial SSU rRNA". It matches the Rfam family "Bacterial small subunit ribosomal RNA", at positions 22 to 906 of the family's 1533-position model. The record is from RNAcentral.
GCUCAGAACGAACGCUGGCGGCGUGCCUAACACAUGCAAGUCGAGCGAGAAAGCCCGCAAGGGUGAGUAAAGCGGCGCACGGGUGCGUAACACGUGGGUAAUCUGCCCUGAAGUCCGGAAUAACUCGCCGAAAGGCGUGCUAAUGCCGGAUAAGACCACGGGAGCUUCGGCUCCUGCGGGAAAAGGUGGCCUCUGUACACAAGCUAUCACUUCAGGAUGAGCCCGCGGCCCAUCAGCUCGUUGGCGGGGUAAUGGCCCACCAAGGCUACGACGGGUAGCUGGUCUGAGAGGACGAUCAGCCACACUGGAACUGAGACACGGUCCAGACUCCUACGGGAGGCAGCAGUGGGGAAUCUUGCGCAAUGGGCGAAAGCCUGACGCAGCAACGCCGCGUGUGUGAUGAAGGUCUUCGGAUCGUAAAGCACUGUCGCGAGGGACGAAUAAGGGGCGGGCUAACAUCCCGUUCCGAUGACGGUACCUCGAGAGGAAGCACCGGCUAACUCUGUGCCAGCAGCCGCGGUAAUACAGAGGGUGCAAGCGUUGUUCGGAAUUAUUGGGCGUAAAGCGCGUGUAGGCGGCUUUGUAAGUUGGGUGUGAAAGCCCUCGGCUUAACCGAGGAAGUGCGCCCAAAACUGCAUGGCUUGAGUACCGGAGAGGGUGGCGGAAUUCCCGGUGUAGAGGUGAAAUUCGUAGAUAUCGGGAGGAACACCAGCGGCGAAGGCGGCCACCUGGACGGAUACUGACGCUGAGACGCGAAAGCGUGGGGAGCAAACAGGAUUAGAUACCCUGGUAGUCCACGCUGUAAACGAUGAGCGCUAGGUGUUGUGGGUGUUGACCCCUGCAGUGCCGCAGCUAACGCAUUAAGCGCUCCGCCUGGGAAGUACGGCCGCAGGGCUAAACUCAAAG